Pelobates cultripes (western spadefoot toad) is the source of this 251-nucleotide non-coding RNA. NCBI's taxonomy places the organism in Eukaryota, Metazoa, Chordata, Amphibia, Anura, Pelobatidae. The record is from the annotation of a GenBank genome assembly.
AAAGAAAUAAAUGGGUAUCUUAUCAGUUAUAUCUGUGUGAUGUUGGGGAAGGGGAGGCAACUGAAUCUGAGGAAGAAAGUUAUGAAAAAACGAAUCUUUGGAGAUCCAACAUUGGUUCCUUGGCAACAUGGAGUAAAUAUGACUCUUCCUGUCUUUCAGAAUUCCAGCCUCUGGGCAGUGAAUAUGCUAUUUGCAGUUAUACGGAGUUAAAUUAAAGGCAUAUAAUAUGUUUAAGGCAAUGCUUGGCUUAG